This 805-nucleotide ribosomal RNA is filed under the name uncultured bacterium. RNAcentral's name for it is "bacterial SSU rRNA". It matches the Rfam family "Bacterial small subunit ribosomal RNA", at positions 8 to 796 of the family's 1533-position model. The record is from RNAcentral.
AGAGUUUGAUCAUGGCUCAGGACGAACGCUGGCGGCGUGCCUGAUACAUGCAAGUUGAGCGCUGAAGGUUGGUACUUGUACCAACUGGAUGAGCAGCGAACGGGUGAGUAACGCGUGGGGAAUCUGCCUUUGAGCGGGGGACAACAUUUGGAAACGAAUGCUAAUACCGCAUAAAAACUUUAAACACAAGUUUUAAGUUUGAAAGAUGCAAUUGCAUCACUCAAAGAUGAUCCCGCGUUGUAUUAGCUAGUUGGUGAGGUAAAGGCUCACCAAGGCGAUGAUACAUAGCCGACCUGAGAGGGUGAUCGGCCACAUUGGGACUGAGACACGGCCCAAACCCCUACGGGAGGCAGCAGUAGGGAAUCUUCGGCAAUGGACGAAAGUCUGACCGAGCAACGCCGCGUGAGUGAAGAGGGUUUUCGGAUCGUAAAACUCUGUUGGUAGAGAAGAACGUUGGUGAGAGUGGAAAGCUCAUCAAGUGACGGUAACUACCCAGAAAGGGACGGCUAACUACGUGCCAGCAGCCGCGGUAAUACGUAGGUCCCGAGCGUUGUCCGGAUUUAUUGGGCGUAAAGCGAGCGCAGGUGGUUUAUUAAGUCUGGUGUAAAAGGCAGUGGCUCAACCAUUGUAUGCAUUGGAAACUGGUAGACUUGAGUGCAGGAGAGGAGAGUGGAAUUCCAUGUGUAGCGGUGAAAUGCGUAGAUAUAUGGAGGAACACCGGUGGCGAAAGCGGCUCUCUGGCCUGUAACUGACACUGAGGCUCGAAAGCGUGGGGAGCAAACAGGAUUAGAUACCCUGGUAGUCC